Long non-coding RNA from Nerophis lumbriciformis (worm pipefish), 1548 nucleotides. RefSeq lists it as uncharacterized. The record is from RefSeq and is a predicted model, not a curated record. NCBI's taxonomy places the organism in Eukaryota, Metazoa, Chordata, Actinopteri, Syngnathiformes, Syngnathidae.
GUCAGAACGGUUAAAUAUUAAAAAUGGCGCCCAUAGAAGCGUUGCACGAAUUAAAAGGCUGUGUUCUCCAAAACCAGUUAGCGUUUCAACAAAUUGACAGAUUCUGUGUGGUGGAUGAGGGAAGAUGGAGGCAUGCUAGCAACACUUUUUCAGCAUCUAUGGACUGGAGGUGUGUGCCGGGCUGCCUUCAGUAGAACCGUAAGACUGCGGGGUCAGAGACCCGUUUGAAGCCUCCACUGACGAUUUUGGAUUCAGCACUCUUGGAAGCGGAGCGAGCCAGUACCAAGCGAAUGGUGUAAAGCAGCAAGCCAGGCAGCCGCAAUAGAUCCAUGGCCGAGCCCACCAGGCCCGCCGCGAUCACGUAAUUUACGAAAAAGGCCCCUUGGUCCGGUAGGAACACACACCUUGGUGCACAGAUGGCAAAGUUAGAAAAAUUUUCAAAUUGAAUUAUAUAUACACUGAACAAAAGUAUAAACGCAACACUUGUUUUUGCUCCUAUUUUUUAUGAGCUGAACUCAAAGAUCUAAAAUGUUUACUAUAUCCACAAAGAACUUAUUCCUCUCAAAUAUUGCUCACAAAUCUGUCUAAAUCGGUGUUAGUGAGCACUUCUUCUUUGCCAAGAUAAUCCAUCCCACCUCACAGGUGUGGCAUAUCAAGAUGCUGAUUAAACAGCAUGGUUAUUGCACAGGUGUGCCUUAGGCUGCCCACAGUAAAAGGACACUCUGAAAUGUGCAGUUUUGUUUUAUUUGGGGUCUGGAGGGGUCAGAAAAGCAGUCAGUAUCUGGUGUGAUCACUAUUUGACUCACGCAGUGCAACACAUCUCCUUUGCAUAGAGUGGAUCAGGUUGUUGAUUGUGGCCUGUGGAAUGUUGGUCCACUCUUCAAUGGCUGUGCGAAGUUGCUGGAUAUUGGCAGAAACUGGAACACGCUGUCAUAUAUACGCUGAAUCCACAGCAUCCCAAACAUGCUCAAUGGGUGACAUGUCCGUUAAGUAUGCUAGCCAUGCAAGAAAUGGGUUGUUUUCAGCUUCCGGGAAUUGUGUACAGAUCCUUGCAACAUGGGACCGUGCAUUGUAAUGCUGCAACAUAAGAUGAUGGUCUCGGGUGAAUGGCACAACAAUGGACCUCAGAAUCUUGUUGCGUUAUCUCUGUGCAUUCACAAUGCCAUCGAUAAAAUGCACUUGCGUUCGUUGUCCAUAACAUACGUCUGCCCAUACCAUAACCCCACCCUCACCAUAACCCCACCAUGGGCCUACACGGUCUAGCUCCGUCCUAUCUUGUCGAUUGCAUUGUACCAUAUGUCCCGGCAAGAAAUCUGCGUUCAAAGAACUCCGGCUUAUUAGUGAUUCCCAGAGCCCAAAAAAAGUCUGCGGGCUAUAGAGCGUUUUCUAUUCGGGCUCCAGUACUAUGGAAUGCCCUCCCGGUAACAAUUAGAGAUGCUACCUCAGUAGAAGCAUUUAAGUCCCAUCUUAAAACUCAUUUGUAUACUCUAGCCUUUAAAUAGCCCCCCUGUUAGACCAGUUGAUCUGCCGUUUCUUUUCUUUUCUCCU